GCAGUAGCAACUGGAUUUGCAGCAGAAACACUCUGCUACAGAACAAGUGUCUUGGUUCACAGCAAAGAGGACAAAGAAAACAGCAAGUUUUAGGGGGUUGAAUCCUGGAUUAUGCCACUGUUGCUGGAGAAAUGUCACUGCUAGAGAAUGGAAGACUAUUAUUCCAAAGGGUAUUUGAGACUGACUGAAUCAGGUCUGGAACAUUAUUGAAAUGCCUCUGUGAUGCUGUUAAAGCAGAUUCCUGGGCACCAUUCCUAAAGACUCCGAUUGGACUGAAUGCAAGAGCCAUUCUCACUGGGAUGCCACAGCUCUGGAGACUUCUCAUAGAUGGUGUUUGGAACACUCCAGGCUUGCAGAUGGGCCUUUAG
This 368-nucleotide long non-coding RNA is filed under the name Rhinopithecus bieti (black snub-nosed monkey). RNAcentral's name for it is "lncRNA (ENSRBIG00000046612.1)". Lineage: Eukaryota; Metazoa; Chordata; Mammalia; Primates; Cercopithecidae. The record is from RNAcentral.